This 433-nucleotide ribosomal RNA is filed under the name uncultured bacterium. RNAcentral's name for it is "partial 16S ribosomal RNA". It matches the Rfam family "Bacterial small subunit ribosomal RNA", at positions 29 to 507 of the family's 1533-position model. The record is from RNAcentral.
AACGAACGCUGGCGGCAUGCCUAACACAUGCAAGUCGAACGAGACCUUCGGGUCUAGUGGCGCACGGGUGCGUAACGCGUGGGAACCUGCCCUUAGGUUCGGAAUAACUCCCCGAAAGGGGUGCUAAUACCGGAUAAUGUCUUCGGACCAAAGAUUUAUCGCCUUUGGAUGGGCCCGCGUUGGAUUAGCUAGUUGGUAGGGUAAAAGCCUACCAAGGCGACGAUCCAUAGCUGGUCUGAGAGGAUGAUCAGCCACACUGGGACUGAGACACGGCCCAGACUCCUACGGGAGGAAGCAGGGGGGAAUAUUGGACAAGGGGCGAAAGCCUGAUCCAGCAAUGCCGCGUGAGUGAUGAAGGCCUUAGGGUUGUAAAGCUCUUUUACCCGGGAUGAUAAUGACAGUACCGGGAGAAUAAGCUCCGGCUAACUCCGUG